UACGAAGGGUGCAAACGUUGCUCGGAAUCAUUGGGCGUAAAGCGCACGUAGGCGGCUUCGCAAGUCGGGGGUGAAAUCUUUCGGCUCAACCGGGAAAUGGCCAUUGAUACUGUCAGACUUGAAUUAUUAGGAAGUAACUAGAAUAUGUAGUGUAGCGGUGAAAUGCUUAGAGAUUACAUGGAAUACCAAUUGCGAAGGCAGGUUACUACUAAUGGAUUGACGCUGAUGGACGAAAGCGUGGGUAGCGAACAGG
Molecule: ribosomal RNA, 253 nt
Filed under: uncultured bacterium
Lineage: Bacteria
Description: partial 16S ribosomal RNA
Rfam family: Bacterial small subunit ribosomal RNA
Source: RNAcentral